RNAcentral lists this transfer RNA (95 nucleotides) under Candidatus Bathyarchaeota archaeon. RNAcentral describes it as "tRNA-Tyr". It matches the Rfam family "tRNA". Rfam says of the family: Transfer RNA (tRNA) molecules are approximately 80 nucleotides in length. Their secondary structure includes four short double-helical elements and three loops (D, anti-codon, and T loops). RNAcentral also lists the same sequence under 2 other names. Lineage: Archaea; Thermoproteati; Candidatus Bathyarchaeota. The record is from RNAcentral.
CGGGCGGUAGCUCAGCCUGGUAGAGCUUCCGGCUGUAGCAGGCGUACAACGCAGAAACCGGAGUGUCGCAGGCUCAAAUCCUGCCCGCCCGACCA